CAGAGGUGUCAGCCGACGGAAGCGGCACCUAAGAUGGGUGGUGGAGGAGGAGAAGAUGAACGCCUGUUGUAGUUUUGAGAUCAGGUGGAGGCAUAGGGGUUGUAGCUCAUUCUACUAAUACUUCUCACCUAAUUUCCCCCAGGAAACCGGAGUAACCAGAAUCCAGGUCAAGCUUUUCCCUGAUGGGGAGAAAUCACUUAAGAAGCCAGUGGUUGUAAACCCCUCACAGAGUAGAUGUAGUGGAUAAUGUAGUGGAUACCAUCUUGCUCCACCCAGUCCCUUCUGGAAGGCCAAAUACUCCAUUCUUUGAUCAGGAAUCACCACCUGCCAUGGGCAGUUGCCCUGAGUGGCAGGGCACUGUCAUGCACAAGGCAGCCCAGGCCAGUGACUGUCUGUGGUGGGAUCAAAAGGCCUGCUCCCCGUGUUUCAAAUGGAAGAAUUCUAGCCCCGCCCCCAACAGGAUCACCUGAGCACUCAGUAGGACCUACACUGUGGGUCACCUUCUCCAUCUGUUUAAUUUUACCUUCUUCACUUUCUUCCUGCUGCACCUCCUAAGAGCACAUCCUGAAAAUCCUUUUGUCCAGAGUUCUCUGGUUGCAGAACCUAUUCCAGAGACCCAGUGUAAGACACGGUGUGCCACGUAAGAAAAGUGGAGGGGAAGCAAAGACAGGAACAACAGAGGGUUCUUUCAAAAAGCCAAGAAACAUGGUGGUAGCUGGAAGAAGCAGGAGAAAAGGUGCAGACACUUUGACUGGAAUCUCAAGGAAUGAAACCCUAAUUGACUGACCAGGGUGGAACCAGGAUCAGCUCUAGACAAGUAUGCUCAUGGCACUAUUGAUGAAAGACGGGGAAAUGACCACACUGUUUAGCAAAGAAGAGUACGUAAAUUGAUACUGUCCUACAGUGGAUUAAAAAUCAGUGAAAAUGAACAAGAGCUACACAUGUCAACAUUCAUAAACCUCAAACAAGUUUGAGCAACAACACAAAAGCAAGUCCUAAAAGAAUAUGUGCAAUCUGAUGCCAUAUAUCACAUACCAUUUCAAAAAUAUGAAAAACUGAGCAAUAUAUAAAGACGAGGUUACAUGUGUGCUAAUUCAAUAAAGUAAUGCAAAGAUUAGUAAAUACC
This is a long non-coding RNA of Lutra lutra (Eurasian river otter), 1126 nucleotides long. RefSeq lists it as uncharacterized. The record is from RefSeq and is a predicted model, not a curated record. The transcript has 3 exons. NCBI's taxonomy places the organism in Eukaryota, Metazoa, Chordata, Mammalia, Carnivora, Mustelidae.